GCAAAGCUUGUGAUUUCCAUAACUUCGAGUGAGCUAGUUGCGGGCUAUGCUUUAGUGAGUUCCUGAUAAACCAAAUGUGUAAUCAUUUCCUCAGGGUCUGCACUGUAGUUCACCCUCGAAGCAUGACAUUUUUGGAUGCACUAGCUUCUGGCUUGGUUUCUUUGUAGCAUGGCAUUGCAGCAGGCCUGAACAUGGGCCUAUGCAGCAGGGUGUAGUUAGGUUAUUUUGACUGGUGUUUCAAUAUGGUUUGGCAGCAUGAUGCAUUGACUCAUGACAUAGUUGAAAUCCCACACAUUUUGAUUGGUGACUUAAUAAUGCCACCGAUGUGAUACACACAGACUUUGAGUUGGUUUUCCUCAUGGUUUCACAAGUUCAUGGCAAAAUUGCAACUUGGUCAUGUGCCUUCAGCAAGUAUAAUGCCUUGUUCCCCUUCUUUAAGUGCAGUAGGUGUGACAUUUAUGAGGAUUAGAUGGUCAACUGCUAGCUCUGGGAAGGUUGAAUUGCAGGGCUGCUACAACAGAGUGCUCAUGAUGAUGGU
Long non-coding RNA from Lathyrus oleraceus (garden pea), 538 nucleotides. RefSeq lists it as uncharacterized. The record is from RefSeq and is a predicted model, not a curated record. The transcript has 3 exons. Lineage: Eukaryota; Viridiplantae; Streptophyta; Magnoliopsida; Fabales; Fabaceae.